RNAcentral lists this ribosomal RNA (425 nucleotides) under Paenibacillus humicus. RNAcentral's name for it is "bacterial SSU rRNA". It matches the Rfam family "Bacterial small subunit ribosomal RNA", at positions 39 to 459 of the family's 1533-position model. Lineage: Bacteria; Bacillati; Bacillota; Bacilli; Caryophanales; Paenibacillaceae. The record is from RNAcentral.
GCGGCGUGCCUAAUACAUGCAAGUCGAGCGGAUCUUGUCCUUCGGGACAAGGUUAGCGGCGGACGGGUGAGUAACACGUAGGCAACCUGCCCUCAAGACUGGGAUAACCUCCGGAAACGGAUGCUAAUACCGGAUAUGCGGUUUCUCCUCCUGGAGAGACCGGGAAAGACGGAGCAAUCUGUCACUUGGGGAUGGGCCUGCGGCGCAUUAGCUAGUUGGUGAGGUAACGGCUCACCAAGGCGACGAUGCGUAGCCGACCUGAGAGGGUGAUCGGCCACACUGGGACUGAGACACGGCCCAGACUCCUACGGGAGGCAGCAGUAGGGAAUCUUCCGCAAUGGACGCAAGUCUGACGGAGCAACGCCGCGUGAGUGAGGAAGGCCUUCGGGUCGUAAAGCUCUGUGCCAGGGAAGAACGGGGGAAGA